GAAAUGCGAUAAGUAGUGUGAAUUGCAGAAUUCAGUGAAUCAUCGAAUCUUUGAACGCACAUUGCGCCCCUUGGUAUUCCAUGGGGCAUGCCUGUUCGAGCGUCAUUUGUACCCUCAAGCUCUGCUUGGUGUUGGGUGUUUGUCCCGUCUCCGCGCGUGGACUCGCCCCAAAGUGAUUGGCAGCCGGCGUACUGGUCCCGGAGCGCAGCACAUGUCGCGCAAACGAGUGCCUUGGUACGGCGGCGUCCAAAGCCCCUCUCUCACGCUCUUGACCUCGGAUCAGGUAGGGAUACCCGCUGAACUUAAGC
This 308-nucleotide unclassified non-coding RNA is filed under the name plant metagenome. RNAcentral describes it as "partial contains 5.8S ribosomal RNA, internal transcribed spacer 2, and large subunit ribosomal RNA". The stretch from base 1 to 105 matches the Rfam family "5.8S ribosomal RNA", at positions 50 to 154 of the family's 154-position model. The record is from RNAcentral.